GCCGAGGUCUCUGAUGCUAGGCCUUCCCCAGCUGCACAUCCUUAGAAGCACUUCAGAGUAAGUAUGAUUUUGUUUUACUCACUGGAAUAUUUUUAGGUCUCUGAGAAAAUACUACAAAACACUG
This 124-nucleotide small nucleolar RNA is filed under the name Octodon degus (degu). The record is from RNAcentral. Lineage: Eukaryota; Metazoa; Chordata; Mammalia; Rodentia; Octodontidae.